GAGGUUGUAGCUCAGUGGUAGAGCAUUUGCCUACCAAGCGUGAGGCACUGGGUUCAAUCCCCAGCACCACA
Non-coding RNA from Ictidomys tridecemlineatus (thirteen-lined ground squirrel), 71 nucleotides. NCBI's taxonomy places the organism in Eukaryota, Metazoa, Chordata, Mammalia, Rodentia, Sciuridae. The record is from Rfam.